GCCGCCGUAGCUCAGCCGGUAGAGCGACGCUUUCGUAAAGCGUAGGUCAUCAGUUCGAAUCUGAUCGGCGGCU
This 73-nucleotide transfer RNA is filed under the name Schlesneria paludicola. RNAcentral's name for it is "tRNA-Thr". It matches the Rfam family "tRNA". Rfam says of the family: Transfer RNA (tRNA) molecules are approximately 80 nucleotides in length. Lineage: Bacteria; Pseudomonadati; Planctomycetota; Planctomycetia; Planctomycetales; Planctomycetaceae. The record is from RNAcentral. RNAcentral also lists the same sequence under 1 other name.